RNAcentral lists this ribosomal RNA (388 nucleotides) under uncultured Methanosaeta sp. RNAcentral describes it as "bacterial SSU rRNA". It matches the Rfam family "Archaeal small subunit ribosomal RNA", at positions 112 to 498 of the family's 1478-position model. The record is from RNAcentral. Lineage: Archaea; Methanobacteriati; Methanobacteriota; Methanomicrobia; Methanotrichales; Methanotrichaceae.
ACCUCCGGACGGGUAUAAACCGGGAAACUGGGUAUAAUCCCCGAAUAGAUCUCGGGUCGCGUGGAAUGCCCCGAAGAUCGAAAGCUCCGGCGCCAGAGGAUGGGUCUGCGGCCUAUCAGGUAGUAGUGGGUGUAGCGUACCUACUAGCCUACGACGGGUACGGGUUGUGAGAGCAAGAGCCCGGAGAUGGAUUCUGAGACACGAAUCCAGUUCCUACGGGGUGCAGCAGGCGCGAAAACUUUACAAUGCCGGCAACGGCGAUAAGGGGACCUCGAGUGCCAGGUUACAAAUCUGGCUGUCGUGAUGCCUAAAAAGCAUUGCAUAGCAAGGGCCGGGCAAGACCGGUGCCAGCCGCCGAGGUAACACCGGCGGCUCGAGUGGUAACCGU